Molecule: transfer RNA, 72 nt
Filed under: Ictidomys tridecemlineatus (thirteen-lined ground squirrel)
Lineage: Eukaryota; Metazoa; Chordata; Mammalia; Rodentia; Sciuridae
Description: Spermophilus tridecemlineatus (thirteen-lined ground squirrel) tRNA
Rfam family: tRNA
About the family: Transfer RNA (tRNA) molecules are approximately 80 nucleotides in length. Their secondary structure includes four short double-helical elements and three loops (D, anti-codon, and T loops).
Source: Rfam by way of RNAcentral
UAGGUUGUAGCUCAGUGGCAGAGCUCUUGUCUCGCAUGCAUGAGGCACUGGGUUCAAUCCUCAGCAUCACAU